RNAcentral lists this long non-coding RNA (483 nucleotides) under Mytilus galloprovincialis (Mediterranean mussel). Lineage: Eukaryota; Metazoa; Mollusca; Bivalvia; Mytilida; Mytilidae. The record is from RNAcentral.
UGUUUCAGCUUUUUAAUUUCAUGAAAGGAUGUUAUUCAUAUAUUAAAAAAGUUGAUAUCAGUUUCUGCAGUUUGAAAAUAGUGCUGAAACAGGUUAGAUUGAUAUAGUAUAAAUAAUUACAAAAAUGUACAUACCAGUGACAAAAUAUAUGUGUGUAUUACAUACAUUGUUUAAUUAAGUGCAGUGUAUUUAUAUGUAUGGUGUAGUAGAUUAUAUAGCUAUAUAUAGAUUUUAAAUGAUAAGUGCUUUAGUCGUCAUUCAUUGUUUGUUGUUACCAGUGCCUACAUUUUUAUCUGACAAAAUUAUAUACUCAGUUAUAUGUCGAUUAUGUACAGCUACUAAUUCAUCUGUCAAUGCAGAAAAUAUGAACUACAAUUUAUAUGAUGAUGUCAUCUAUUUUAUCAUGGUAAACAAAUAAAACGUAAAAGAUAAUUAUUAGGUCCCAUAAUUGUGAAUUGUUUUCUUAUUAUCACACCUUACUGU